GAUGAACGCUGGCGGCGUGCCUAAUACAUGCAAGUCGAGCGAACAGAUGAGGAGCUUGCUCCUCUGACGUUAGCGGCGGACGGGUGAGUAACACGUGGAUAACCUACCUAUAAGACUUGGAUAACUUCGGGAAACCGGAUCUAAUACCGGAUAAUAUAUUGAACCGCAUGGUUCAAUAGUGAAAGACGGUUUUGCUGUCACUUAUAGAUGGAUCCGCGCCGCAUUAGCUAGUUGGUAAGGUAACGGCUUACCAAGGCAACGAUGCGUAGCCGACCUGAGAGGGUGAUCGGCCACACUGGAACUGAGACACGGUCCAGACUCCUACGGGAGGCAGCAGUAGGGAAUCUUCCGCAAUGGGCGAAAGCCUGACGGAGCAACGCCGCGUGAGUGAUGAAGGUCUUCGGAUCGUAAAACUCUGUUAUUAGGGAAGAAAAAAUGUGUAAGUAACUAUGCACGUCUUGACGGUACCUAAUCAGAAAGCCACGGCUAACUACGUG
Molecule: ribosomal RNA, 497 nt
Filed under: uncultured bacterium
Lineage: Bacteria
Description: partial 16S ribosomal RNA
Rfam family: Bacterial small subunit ribosomal RNA
Source: RNAcentral